Molecule: ribosomal RNA, 669 nt
Filed under: Triticum aestivum (bread wheat)
Lineage: Eukaryota; Viridiplantae; Streptophyta; Magnoliopsida; Poales; Poaceae
Description: partial small subunit ribosomal RNA
Source: RNAcentral
AUGGCCUUCCAUGACAGUAGGGAGUUCAAGAAUGCAUUGGUCAAGUAUGGACUGAAAACAUAUCACCACUUGUUAUUUCCAAAAGAUGAGAAAAGGAGAGUAAGUGCAAAAUGCAGUUGGCCUAGCUGUCCUUGGAGUGUUUAUGGGUCCAUUACUAGUAGGUCUGAUUGGUUUCUAGUAUGGAGGUACAAUAAUGAGCACACUUGCAUUCCAAGAAGGGACAACAAGCUGGUCACAUGUGGUGUCAUUGCAAAGAAGUAUUUUAGGCAAAUUAGGGACAAUCCAUCAUGGAAGGCAGAGCACAUUCAACAAGCUGUUCUUCAGGAUCUAGUAGCUGAUGUGUCCAUCUCCAAAUGCAAACGAGCAAAGAAACUAGUUAUGGAGAAGAUAAUUGAUCUAUCUGAUGGUGAGUAUACUUGGGUUUAUGAUUAUCAGCUUGAGUUGCUUAGAAGCAACCCCGGUAGCACUAUCGCAGUGACAUUAAAUCCAGAAAUUCUUAAUAGUAAUGUGUUUGAAAGAAUGUAUCUGUGUUUAGAUGGUUGCAAGAAAGGAUUUCUUGAAGGACGUAGAAGAGUGGUGGGGCUAGAUGGAUGUUUUUUGAAGGGCGCAUUCAGGGGCAGUUGCUUUGUGCAAUUGGCAGAGAUGCAAAUAACCAGGUGUAUCCAAUAG